This 31-nucleotide non-coding RNA is filed under the name Prorocentrum micans. The record is from RNAcentral. Lineage: Eukaryota; Dinophyceae; Prorocentrales; Prorocentraceae.
AAAAAAAAAAAAAAAAAAAAAAAAAAAAUGU